Molecule: ribosomal RNA, 515 nt
Filed under: uncultured bacterium
Lineage: Bacteria
Description: partial 16S ribosomal RNA
Rfam family: Bacterial small subunit ribosomal RNA
Source: RNAcentral
GACGAACGCUGGCGGCGUGCCUAAUACAUGCAAGUCGAGCGAAUGGAUUAAGAGCUUGCUCUUAUGAAGUUAGCGGCGGACGGGUGAGUAACACGUGGGUAACCUGCCCAUAAGACUGGGAUAACUCCGGGAAACCGGGGCUAAUACCGGAUAACAUUUUGAACCGCAUGGUUCGAAAUUGAAAGGCGGCUUCGGCUGUCACUUAUGGAUGGACCCGCGUCGCAUUAGCUAGUUGGUGAGGUAACGGCUCACCAAGGCAACGAUGCGUAGCCGACGUGAGAGGGUGAUCGGCCACACUGGGACUGAGACACGGCCCAGACUCCUACGGGAGGCAGCAGUAGGGAAUCUUCCGCAAUGGACGAAGGUCUGACGGAGCAACGCCGCGUGAGUGAUGAAGGCUUUCGGGUCGUAAAACUCUGUUGUUAGGGAAGAACAAGUGCUAGUUGGAUAAGCUGGCACCUUGACGGUACCUAACCAGAAAGCCACGGCUAACUACGUGCCAGCAGCCGCAGUAA